Molecule: unclassified non-coding RNA, 219 nt
Filed under: Hevea brasiliensis (rubber tree)
Lineage: Eukaryota; Viridiplantae; Streptophyta; Magnoliopsida; Malpighiales; Euphorbiaceae
Source: RNAcentral
AGCAAAUACACCUAAAGAAAUUCAAUCUGAUCAGUGCAGUUUGCUACAAGCUGAAGUUCCUACACAUCUUCCACAGCAAUGGAAGAUGACACAACAAUCGUGUCUACAGUCUAAUCUACAAAGAAGGAUCGUCAAGUGUCUGUCCUCUUCGACAAUUUAAUGUCUGUACUAUUGCCAUCUUUUGGAAGACCUAACUGCAGAAGUGUUUCCGGAAGGAGG